UCCUCUGUGGUGUAACGGUAGAGCACGCGUCUCCGGAUAGGAUGAAACGCGGGUGCGAUUUCCGCCUGAGGCC
Parelaphostrongylus tenuis is the source of this 73-nucleotide non-coding RNA. NCBI's taxonomy places the organism in Eukaryota, Metazoa, Nematoda, Chromadorea, Rhabditida, Metastrongylidae. The record is from the annotation of a GenBank genome assembly.